RNAcentral lists this ribosomal RNA (429 nucleotides) under Bacteroidota bacterium. RNAcentral's name for it is "Bacteroidetes bacterium partial 16S ribosomal RNA". It matches the Rfam family "Bacterial small subunit ribosomal RNA", at positions 355 to 776 of the family's 1533-position model. Lineage: Bacteria; Pseudomonadati; Bacteroidota. The record is from RNAcentral.
UAGGGAAUCUUCCGCAAUGGACGCAAGUCUGACGGAGCAACGCCGCGUGAGUGAAGAAGGAUUUCGGUUCGUAAAACUCUGUUGUUAGAGAAGAACAGCGCAUAGAGUAACUGUUAUGCGUGUGACGGUAUCUAACCAGAAAGCCACGGCUAACUACGUGCCAGCAGCCGCGGUAAUACGUAGGUGGCAAGCGUUGUCCGGAUUUAUUGGGCGUAAAGCGAGCGCAGGCGGUCAAUUAAGUCUGAUGUGAAAGCCCCCGGCUCAACCGGGGAGGGUCAUUGGAAACUGGUUGACUUGAGUGCAGAAGGGGAGAGUGGAAUUCCAUGUGUAGCGGUGAAAUGCGUAGAUAUAUGGAGGAACACCAGUGGCAAAGGCGACUCUCUGGUCUGUAACUGACGCUGAGGCUCGAAAGCGUGGGUAGCAAACAGG